CACGUAGGGCGCAAGCGUUGUCCGGAAUUAUUGGGCGUAAAGAGCUCGUAGGCGGUCUGUUGCGUCCGCUGUGAAAACUCGGGGCUUAACCCCGAGCCUGCAGUGGAUACGGGCAGACUAGAGGUAGGUAGGGGAGAAUGGAAUUCCCGGUGUAGCGGUGAAAUGCGCAGAUAUCGGGAGGAACACCGGUGGCGAAGGCGGUUCUCUGGGCCUUACCUGACGCUGAGGAGC
Molecule: ribosomal RNA, 231 nt
Filed under: uncultured bacterium
Lineage: Bacteria
Description: partial 16S ribosomal RNA
Rfam family: Bacterial small subunit ribosomal RNA
Source: RNAcentral